UACGUAGGGGGCGAGCGUUGUCCGGAGUUACUGGGCGUAAAGGGCAUGCAGGCGGUCGGACGCGUUUCGGGUGACAGCGGGUGGCUUAACUACCCGAGUGGUCGAAAGACGGUUUGACUUGAGGACGCGAGAGGGACACGGAAUUCCGGGUGGAGUGGUGAAAUGCGUAGAGAUCCGGGGGAACACCGAAGGCGAAGGCAGUGUCCUGGCGCGUAACUGACGCUGAGGUGCGAAAGCCAGGGGAGCGAACGGG
Molecule: ribosomal RNA, 253 nt
Filed under: uncultured bacterium
Lineage: Bacteria
Description: partial 16S ribosomal RNA
Rfam family: Bacterial small subunit ribosomal RNA
Source: RNAcentral